GAGGAACGCUGGCGGCGUGCUUAACACAUGCAAGUCGAACGGAAAGGCCCUGCUUUUGUGGGGUGCUCGAGUGGCGAACGGGUGAGUAACACGUGAGUAACCUGCCCUUGACUUUGGGAUAACUUCAGGAAACUGGGGCUAAUACCGGAUAGGAGCUCCUGCUGCAUGGUGGGGGUUGGAAAGUUUCGGCGGUUGGGGAUGGACUCGCGGCUUAUCAGCUUGUUGGUGGGGUAGUGGCUUACCAAGGCUUUGACGGGUAGCCGGCCUGAGAGGGUGACCGGCCACAUUGGGACUGAGAUACGGCCCAGACUCCUACGGGAGGCAGCAGUGGGGAAUAUUGCACAAUGGGCGGAAGCCUGAUGCAGCAACGCCGCGUGCGGGAUGACGGCCUUCGGGUUGUAAACCGCUUUCGCCUGUGACGAAGCGUGAGUGACGGUAAUGGGUAAAGAAGCACCGGCUAACUACGU
Molecule: ribosomal RNA, 467 nt
Filed under: uncultured bacterium
Lineage: Bacteria
Description: partial 16S ribosomal RNA
Rfam family: Bacterial small subunit ribosomal RNA
Source: RNAcentral